GACUGAGGCUUCAGCCAGUCGCAGGGUGGAGGCCUACAAGCCUCAUGCUCAUUGGCUGGACGGGCGAGAGGGGAGGGGCUGGUAGACAGCGGCGGUCCCCGAGGCCGCGGCCGGGGAGUCUGGGGGAGCUGGGCGCGGAGGACGUGGACCGCGGGCUCCGAGAGCAGCGUAGCGAUUAAGCGUGGCGCCUCCCUAACCCCGGUGGGCGCUGAGAGGAGUGAGGUUUUUGUCGUCUGUGUGGGCUGGGCACUUGGGUCCUCCCAGCAGCCUGGCGAGUAUUUUAACAAUCAGUCUCAUUUCCCGGCGAUCACUCGGAGAAGGAUGUGUACUCUGUACUCGGCUGUGCCUCUGCCCAGUCAGGCCAAGCGAACAGGGCGGGUGUGGCCAGCGCCAGACCCCUGCUCCAACGCGGGUCUCGCUGGAUGGGAGAGCGGCACUCGAGGGGACUGUGGCACCGAGCAGGGAUCUAUGGCUUUUGCCCCCAAGCCGUCCGCUUCCUUUCAAGGAGAUCCUGUCACCCUGCUGUUGGGCCUGGAGACCCAGGCCAAGAAAGUCAGCGCCGCGAUAAAAGAACAAUCUCCGUUUA
Non-coding RNA from Heterocephalus glaber (naked mole-rat), 586 nucleotides. The record is from RefSeq and is a predicted model, not a curated record. NCBI's taxonomy places the organism in Eukaryota, Metazoa, Chordata, Mammalia, Rodentia, Bathyergidae.